RNA transcript from Solea solea (common sole), 4885 nucleotides. It is a transcript of the gene named glutamate receptor, metabotropic 2b, with no coding region annotated. The transcript has 7 exons. The record is from RefSeq and is a predicted model, not a curated record. NCBI's taxonomy places the organism in Eukaryota, Metazoa, Chordata, Actinopteri, Pleuronectiformes, Soleidae.
UUUGCAGACUAAUGAUUUUUCUUUCUCUGUUUUUUGGUUUGGCUUAAAAAAAAAAAAAUGUUGGAUUGACACCACAUGCGAGUGCAGCUCCGCGGGGAACAAGAGAGUAGAUGAGUCACACAGAGGGGGAGACCUAGUGUGAAAAAGUUGGAGGCAGGAUUUUGCGAUUUCUAUCAAUGCACUUUUCACUUUUGCAACUCUCUCUCUCUCGUGCGCGCGCGCGCGCCUAUAGCGCAUAUAUGUUUCUUUGGUAAAGUUCAUUAUUCUGGACGUCCAUAGUAUUCCCGCAAACAAACGCCACAUGAUGCGUCGUCAGGUUUGUGAAAGGAAAAGCGAAAUACAUCCAGCGUCGGUUCUUAUUUGCACUCAGCAGCAGAGGAGGAGGAGGAGGAGGAGGAGGAGAGUGGCAGGAUUCCUCCUCACCUCUUGUUUGUAAACUACAUUUCUGAGGAGACGCGGCUGCGAAUCUGACACGGAGGGCAACGCAUGCUGUGUGCUAUACUUUCAUUUAAAUUCAGUUGCUGACACAGAGUCACUGGAGCGUCACUGUGCUGCCGGUGCUUGUGGACACUCGGGCAUUCUGUGUGUGGGCUCAUUGCACGCAGUGAAGCUGCUGCUGCUGCUGCUGCUGCUUCUUCUUCUUCUUCCUCUGCUGCUGCUGCUGUCGCAGGCACAAGUUGGAGAGCGCACAGACUCACACACAGACACACACACACAGAGAGAGAGAGAGAGGAGUUAGUCAGACUUGGCCAGGGUGAGCAACACUUUCAGGACCACGGACAGAUCCUUGGGAGACAUGCUCCACGUGAGCAACAUCUGGACUCACCUGUCUGUGAACACGGUCGCGCGGCGCACACAUUAAAGAGAGCUCAACCGGACCAAGAGAGACAUCUGCGCUUCAACCAGGAAAUAUCAAACAUGCUGUUCCCAGUGAGAGAAGACUUGAAAGCGAUCUGCCCCGAGACUCUGUGAGCCUCUGCUCCUCUCUGCUUCCACCAGCUGAACCCGUCUACCUGAUCCCACCAUGCUGAGUGUUGUGCUCCGCCCCGGGUCGUUGGCCAAAGCUGCCAAUUACUGGCCGCUCCACGUGCUCCUGCUGGAGCUGCUGAUACAAGGAGUCCUGCCCAGCAUGUCUAGAUUACCCCCCACAGCCAAACGUGAGAUCCUGAUGGACGGAGACCUGGUGAUCGGUGGCCUCUUCCCCGUGCACCACAAAGGCGACGGGACAGAGGACUGUGGCAAGAUCAACGAGGAGAGGGGGAUCCAGAGGCUGGAGGCCAUGCUGCUGGCGCUCGAUGAGAUUAACGCCAGCAAUCGCAUCCUCCCUGGACUCCAGCUGGGGGCGCACAUUCUUGACAGCUGCUCGAAGGACACGUACGCUCUGGAGCAGUCGCUAGAUUUUGUCAGGGCCUCGCUCACCAAGGUGCACGAUCCGGGCUUCAUCUGUCCCGACGGCUCCAGACCGAUCCAAAACGAGGUUCCGCUCGCCAUCUCUGGUGUCAUCGGAGGCUCCUACAGUGAUGUCUCCAUUCAGGUUGCCAACCUUCUGCGACUGUUCCAGAUCCCGCAGAUCAGUUACGCCUCCACCAGCGCAAAGCUCAGCGACAAAACCCGCUACGACUACUUUGCCCGCACUGUGCCGCCUGAUUUCUACCAGGCCAAGGCCAUGGCUGAGAUCCUGCGUUACUUCAACUGGACGUACGUCUCCACCGUGGCUUCAGAGGGAGACUACGGGGAGACCGGGAUUGACGCUUUUCAGCAGGAGGCGCGCACUCGCCAAAUCUGCAUCGCCACCUCAGCCAAGGUGAGCCGCUCGAUGAACCGCCAGGGCUACGACAACGUGAUCCGCUCCCUGCAGCAGAAGUCCAACGCCAAGGUCGUGAUCCUGUUCACUCGUAGCGAAGACGCUCGCGAGCUGCUGGUGGCCGCCGCUCGCAUGAAUGUCACCUUCACCUGGGUGGCCAGUGAUGGAUGGGGAGCACAGGAGAGCGUGGUGAGAGGCAGCGAGAGCGCAGCAGAGGGCGCGUUCACUAUUGAACUGGCCUCGUACACAAUCAGAGAGUUUGAAGACUACUUCACCAAACUGAACCCGUACACCAACACAAGGAACCCGUGGUUCAAGGAGUUUUGGGAGCACAAGUUUGGCUGCAGCCUCCAGGAACACGGCUGCAGUGAGCGAAGCCUCCGGGACGGAACUUUUGAGCAGGAGUCCAAAAUCAUGUUUGUGGUGAAUGCCGUCUAUGCCAUGGCCUAUUCACUGCACAACAUGAGGCAAGCCGUGUGCUCCAACACGUCCAAGGUGUGUGAAGCCAUGAAACCAGGUAACGGCAAAAGGUUCUACAAGGAGUUCAUCCUGAAGACCAGAUUUGAAGCUCCUUUCAGACCUGCAGACACGGAGAACAUGGUGCGCUUCAACUCCGUCGGUGACAGCAUCAGCCGCUACAACAUCUUUCACUACCACAAAGAGGACGGCAAGUUCACCUACAGGAAGGUUGGCUACUGGGAGCAGAACCUGACCCUGAACAACACCCUGGUUUCCUGGCGUGGCCUCACGCCGCCCACGUCCCAGUGCAGCGACCCGUGCAGGAAGAACGAAAUAAAGAGCAUGCAACCUGGGGAUGUGUGCUGCUGGAUCUGCAUCCCCUGUCAGCCUUACCAGUACCUGCUGGACGAGUUCACCUGCGCUGACUGCAGCUUUGGCCAGUGGCCUUUGGGCAACCUGACCGGCUGCUAUGAUCUGCCCGAAGAGUACAUCCGAUGGGAGGAUGCCUGGGCCAUCGGGCCUGUGACCAUCUCCUGCCUCGGUAUACUGUGCACCCUGUCAGUCGUGGGCCUGUUCUUCAAGAACAACGAGACACCGGUGGUGAAGGCAAGUGGACGAGAACUCUCCUACAUCCUGCUGCUGGGUGUUCUCAUGUGCUACAGCAUGACUUUCAUCUACAUCACCAAGCCUUCGACCGCUGUGUGCACGUUACGCCGACUGGGCCUGGGCACCUCGUUCGCCGUGUGCUACUCCGCUCUGCUCACCAAGACCAACCGCAUCGCUCGCAUCUUCAGUGGCGUGAAGGACGGGGCUCAGCGGCCGCGCUUCAUCAGCCCGGCGUCGCAGGUGGCAAUCUGCGGCGCCCUGAUCUCCUGCCAGCUACUCGUCGCCAUCAUCUGGUUGCUGGUGGAGGUGCCCGGCGUUCGGAAGGAGGUGGGCCCGGAGAGGAGGAACGUGGUCACGCUCAAGUGUAACAGCAGGGACUCCAGCAUGCUCAUGUCACUCACCUACAACUGCAUCCUCAUCAUCCUCUGCACGGUCUACGCCUUCAAGACACGGAAGUGCCCCGAGAACUUCAAUGAGGCCAAGUUCAUUGGAUUCACCAUGUACACCACCUGCAUCAUCUGGCUGGCGUUUCAGCCCAUCUUCUAUGUCACGGCCAGUGACUACAGGGUGCAGACCACCACCAUGUGUAUUUCCGUCAGCCUGAGCGGCUCGGUGGUUCUCGGCUGCCUCUUUGCCCCGAAGAUCCACAUCAUCCUGUUCCAGCCCCAGAAAAACGUGGCCACACUCAGGGUGACGGCGAACCGCUUCAGCGCCACGGUGUCCACGUCUGCCUCCGCCCCCAGCUCCAGCUACUCCAAAGGAUCGGCCUCCAACUACGUGCCAGCAGUCUGCAACGGCCGUGAGGUGGUGGACUCUACGACGUCCUCUUUGUGAAAUAAAAAACACCCCCAAAAAAUAAUAAAAAAGAAAAGUUCCUCUAUAAGCACAAAGGAGACCAUCCCACCAUCAGUCAUCAAACAGGACCGUGAACAACAGAAGCCCCUCAUGUCAUCCAACAUGCUGCGGAGAGAUAACUCUGUGUGCGGGCUCGUCUGACCGUCAGUGGCCAAGGAACAGGGAGAGCGACGCUGUGGCCGAAGCCCACAAGGACACCUGCAGGAAAACUGAAGACAGUGCAAAUGCAAAAUGAAACAAGGUAACAUUUCUAUAAUAAGAAAUGUCACCAGGGAUAUAACACUGUCACCAAGAAUGAGUAAAAACACACUUUUGAAUGUCAGAUCAUGUUUAACCCUUAGAACACAGAGCAUUUUGGUUGCUUUUUUUCCCCCAUGACUAUGUUUAAACAUACAGUAUAUACAGAGAGCAUAAGAAUGUGUAAUCUAGAGUGUUUUAUUUGUUCUUUUUUCAGCACAACAGAGGCAAUCUGAUAAAAAAACACGUCAUUUUCACCAAUUAUAUAAACACACCUGAGCAAAAAGCGCUCAAAAUGUUUAUAAUGGGAUUGAAUUUGUGAAAUCUGGAAAUACGUCACAGUUCAAAGUUCACUUGGCUCGUUUUUAUGACCAAAAAGAAAAGAAAAAUGGUCUUUUUUGUGACUUUGGCACAAAAAUUGCUAUUUUAUAUCACUUCUAAAAAUGAGAUAUAAAAUGAGUCAUAACUUUGUCUCAACAACACAUAAGAAUAUGUGACCUAUAAACAAUCCUAAACACAACUCCUUAUAAGGACAUCCUUAUCAGGAUCAAGCCGAACAAUGCCGAACUGUAGAUCAGGUAAAAAGACUUCACAAUCCUAAAACGUGGGUUAAUCUCCAACAAUUACCAGGGAAAUGUUUAAAAUCUCAAUAUUUAACAGCGGAGUCUGGUGUAUUUAGUGCCGUGUCAGACGGAGUCUGUGCUCCGGUCAUGGAGGAAGUACUGAACAAACAGUUUUAAAUUAACUGAUUCUCAUGAUUCAGUUACACUGAAAACAACUGCUUUACAAGUCACUCGUUUGUGUCGCACAUAAAAUUAAGUCACGUGCAGUGAUGACUCCGCCUACAUUGAGGAGGUACUAUUUUUGUAGUGGAAAACCAACCUAAACCGUGCCGAGUCGAGGCGGACUGGGACCAUAGGUGGA